This is a long non-coding RNA of Ceratina calcarata, 1036 nucleotides long. RefSeq lists it as uncharacterized. The transcript has 5 exons. Lineage: Eukaryota; Metazoa; Arthropoda; Insecta; Hymenoptera; Apidae. The record is from RefSeq and is a predicted model, not a curated record.
UCUGAUGUGCGUCGUUCGUCACGUAGUUCAUAUAGGUUAACAAUUUCGUUCGUGUUAAUUAUUUAUUGCUCUUGUGAAAAUGUGCCUCUGGUAUCGUCAAGAAGUCUUAUAAAAUGGUGCUUGUUGACCAACCGACGAAUCAGAUCGAUCUGCUCGAGGGCCAGCUGGACCGAGUCGAGAUACUGAGAGGAGCAAGACGGCGAAUGUAAUCGACACGGUAGCAGCGAGUUCCCUCGUCAAUCGUUCGGUCGGACAAUAGGUUCGGGUCUACGAAGACGUAGCGUAAUUGCAACUCUAUUGUUAUCAACUGCGAGACGUGUCCACCGUUGGAAGACGAGUUAACGCGACUCCGGACGUGAAACGUGGCCAAGCUUCCUGCCACCUACCCGGUGAGUGGCGUUAAAAGCGGCUGAGAACUUUACUCGUCAGGAGGCAUACUGGAGAGAGAAAAGAAGAAGAAGAAGAAGAAGAAGAAUCUUAUCCGGCGUCGGGUGAAAGUAACUUCGAUUUAAGGGGCAGAAAAAUCACAGAUUUACGAAAGUAAUGGUGAAACGAUGCGAGGUGUCUGAUUUAUGAUGCCGUGAGAUCUAGGCAAACUUUGAGGACCUUCCUUCCUAUUCGUUGGCGGCCCCGGCGCAGAAUUCAAUCAUCAAUUCCGACACGUCGGAGAAUUCGUCCGAGCAGUGACGGCGAUCAAAACUUUCUCGCGAUCGUUGCCGAAAGAGGAAAUCUGAAAUCGGGAUCAGCGAAUGAAGAAGAGCCGCGCAGAAACGGAAAGGAAUUUCAAUCUAGCCGCAGUAGCCGAGCAGACAACGCGACGGAGACGUUUCCAUUUGGAAACAAUGACCGCGAUUCCGGCCAACUUUUUGACGACUUCGACAGUUAUUACGACUCCUUCCUCCCUUAUGAAACCUCGUCACGAUCGCGAUAAUUUUCAACGAACGCGUCUAAACAUUUUCGCAAAACAAUUCUCGUAUAAUGAUUGAUUAUUAAACGAACGCGAUUAAUUAUUAAUUACAAAUACCAUGAUCAUGAU